Callorhinchus milii (elephant shark) is the source of this 481-nucleotide non-coding RNA. The record is from the annotation of a RefSeq genome assembly. NCBI's taxonomy places the organism in Eukaryota, Metazoa, Chordata, Chondrichthyes, Chimaeriformes, Callorhinchidae.
UAGCGGUCACUGGGGACUGAGGCCAUCUGUCCGGCAGCUCUUUGGCCCUCGGUUAUUCGGCUCCAGUCUCAGUUCUGACAAGUGCCCAGAAACAUGAGGUCCCUGAUUUCUCUCAGUCUGCUGCUGGCUGUCUUCUCCCGUGUCCAGGCCGAGGUGGUGCUGACACAGCCGCCGUCUCUAACCGGGAAACCUGGCCAUCCCCUGAGACUGACCUGUAAAACCAGUGGGUUUAAUCUCGGCAGCUACAGCAUGAGCUGGGUCCGGCAGGUUCCCGGGAAGGGGCUGGAAUGGCUCCUCCAUUAUUACAGCCCAACUAGUUCCUACAAUGCUUUCGCGCCUGGGAUUGAAGACCGUGUCACUGUCAUCAAAGAGAAUUCCAAUAACAUCUUCGAUUUGAUCAUCAAAAGCCCGAGAGUGGACGACACCGCCAUCUAUUACUGUGCGAGAGGGUCACAGUGAGAGGAAACGGGGCUGAACUCCU